This 116-nucleotide ribosomal RNA is filed under the name Esox lucius (northern pike). The record is from RNAcentral. Lineage: Eukaryota; Metazoa; Chordata; Actinopteri; Esociformes; Esocidae.
GCUUACGGCCACAACUCCUGAGCACGCCGAUCUCGUCUGAUCUCGGAAGCUAAGCAGGGUCGGCCCGGUUAGUACUUGGAUGGGAGACCGCCUGGGAAUACCAGGUGCUGUAAGCC